GAAGCGCUCUUCUUCCUCCUCCCCCCGCCCCCAUUCCCAACCUCACCUCUCUCCUGCCGCCUACUUCCCCGCGCUCACCGCCAUGCCCCUGCUUUGCCGGCCAGAUUCGGCCCCACCACCUCCUCCCCGGCUGUGCCCACCGCCCCAGCCUCGCCACCACUAGCACCUGAGAGGCUGAGACGAAGGCACCUUCUGAAGCAGACUGAUACAUCAAUGGCUCUGGAAGCUAAACCAUGAAGAGGUGGGAAUUUGAUAUUGUCGAUCAAGCUUCAUCUUUAAUCUCUUCUUGUUUCUCAGGAAAUCACUCUGAGAGUCAGAUCUCACAAGACUACUUUAACAAUACCUCUCCUAAAGGAUGUAUUUUAUGAUGCUCCAAAUGACUUGUUAACACCCAAAUAGGACAGCCAGAGUGUACAGAGCGAUGAUGCAUGAUGACUCUAGAGGGAUCACAAAUCAGAGGGAGACCACGGUUAUGUACAUAUGUGAAGAAAAUCCACGGGCCUUCUGCUGUACAAGCUCCAUUUGCAGGAGAUUGGAAGAUAAGAUGGUGGGUGGUAGAACACACUUUGUGGAGACAUGUGGAUUACCAAUCAGUACCUAUUUCAUUGCUCUGAAGCUAUUGUGGUUGAUGAAAAAUGUUGGUGCUAUCAAAGUAUGCAGUUCAGGCUGGUGAUUAAUUAUUUUGCACGAUUGACACCUGCCUGAUAUGGAAUCUUUAGGUCAUAAAAUUUUCUGGAAUUCCUAUCAAAAUUAAAGCCUUUCGGGAGAUAAUUCCUAACUUGGUUUGCUCCAAAUUCUUUUCUUUACCCGAAUAUAGUAAUUUGCAGCAUUGGUUCACAUUUGAUUACAAAAAUCUGCAUCUUUGUGUAGUAUCUUUUGUACCUUAAGGACAGGGAGAAAAACUGUAUGUGUUUUGAAGAUUAAAUACCCAUUCAGGGUGAA
Brachypodium distachyon (stiff brome) is the source of this 942-nucleotide long non-coding RNA. RefSeq lists it as uncharacterized. The record is from RefSeq and is a predicted model, not a curated record. NCBI's taxonomy places the organism in Eukaryota, Viridiplantae, Streptophyta, Magnoliopsida, Poales, Poaceae. The transcript has 5 exons.